AGAGUUUGAUCAUGGCUCAGAGCGAACGCUGGCGGCGUGCUUAACACAUGCAAGUCGAACGGGUGUAGCAAUACAUUCGUGGCGAACGGGUGCGUAACACGUGGAUAACCUUCCUCCAGGUGGGGAAUAACCCCGCGAAAGCGGGGCUAAUACCGCAUAACAUCACGAUGGGACAUCCUGUUGUGAUCAAAGGAGCAAUUCGCCAGGAGAGGGAUCCGCGGCCGAUUAGCUAGUUGGCGAGGUAACGGCUCACCAAGGCGAUGAUCGGUAGCCGGUCUGAGAGGAUGAUCGGCCACACUGGAACUGAGACACGGUCCAGACUCCUACGGGAGGCAGCAGUGGGGAAUCUUGCGCAAUGGACGAAAGUCUGACGCAGCAACGCCGCGUGGGGGAUGAAGCUUCUCGGAGUGUAAACCCCUUUCGACCCGGACGAAUGCCCGCAAGGGCUUGACGGUACGGGUAUAAGAAGCCCCGGCUAACUACGUGCCAGCAGCCGCGGUAAGACGUAGGGGGCCAGCGUUGCUCGGAAUUACUGGGCGUAAAGGGUCCGUAGGCGGUGUGGCAAGUCGGGAGUGAAAUCUCUGGGCUUAACCCAGAGGCUGCUUCCGAAACUGCUGUGCUAGAGUGUGAGAGAGGCGAGUGGAAUUACGGGUGUAGCGGUGAAAUGCGUAGAUAUCCGUAGGAACAUCCGAGGCGAAAGCGGCUCGCUGGAUCACAACUGACGCUGAGGGACGAAAGCUAGGGGAGCAAACAGGAUUAGAUACCCCCGUAGUCC
RNAcentral lists this ribosomal RNA (775 nucleotides) under uncultured bacterium. RNAcentral describes it as "bacterial SSU rRNA". It matches the Rfam family "Bacterial small subunit ribosomal RNA", at positions 8 to 796 of the family's 1533-position model. The record is from RNAcentral.